CGAACGGGUGAGUAACACGUGAGUAACCUGCCCCAGAGUGGGGGGAAACAGUUGGAAACGACUGCUAAUACCGCAUAAGCCCACGGAACCGCAUGGUUCAGAGGGAAAAGGAGCAAUUCGCUUUGGGAUGGACUCGCGUCCGAUUAGCUAGAUGGUGAGGUAACGGCCCACCAUGGCGACGAUCGGUAGCCGGACUGAGAGGUUGAUCGGCCACAUUGGGACUGAGACACGGCCCAG
RNAcentral lists this ribosomal RNA (237 nucleotides) under uncultured bacterium. RNAcentral's name for it is "partial 16S ribosomal RNA". It matches the Rfam family "Bacterial small subunit ribosomal RNA", at positions 99 to 334 of the family's 1533-position model. The record is from RNAcentral.